GAAGGGGCCGGUGCCGCGGCGGCGAAGGCGGGAACCGGCGCAACCGCUCCGACACGGAGCGGGGCGAGUCCGUCAGUCACCGGCGGUCGCCCGCGGAGAGCGGGUCCGAGCGGGAGGUAACGGGGGCUGACCGCGCCCCGGGCCCAGGAGCCCGCACCCGCCGCCUUCGCCGGACGCAGCGACGCGCUGGACGGGAGCUCUGGCAGCUGCCGGCACGUUCCGCGCGCGCUGCCAGGAACGCUGGCGGAACACGCGGGCUUCGUCCUCUGCGCCGAAACAUCUGGUAACGCGCGGCACGUAUCGUCUGUGGCUGCGGCGCUGAGGUGACUGACUGGAGGGGACCCCGCGAAAGGGCACUGCGGGAACACGGAGGGGAGAGCUGCAGACGGGGCCGGCAGGAGGGCGAAGCACAGAGCGAGGCAACUGUAGGCAAGGCUAAAAGACUAAACGCUGCUGCAGGUGACGAGGGCGCGCGUGUGAAUACGCCGCCUUCCUCCCGCAAGGCUUUAAAACGGCCUUCUCGGGGAGCGAGAUGUAAAGACAUCUGACAAGUGUACACUCAACUGAUUAAAAAACCUGAUAACUAAAUGCACAUUAUCCUUCAACAUUCCCGUUACAACCAAAGGACUGACAUCAGGCUCGUGUUUAUUUUUCCAAUUUGCAGAUAAGUAACUAGGGCUGAUGAGAAGAAUAAAGACUAUGAUUCUCUACA
Aquila chrysaetos chrysaetos is the source of this 712-nucleotide long non-coding RNA. RefSeq lists it as uncharacterized. NCBI's taxonomy places the organism in Eukaryota, Metazoa, Chordata, Aves, Accipitriformes, Accipitridae. The transcript has 2 exons. The record is from RefSeq and is a predicted model, not a curated record.